GAACGACUUCUGAAAACUCUUUUAUAAAUAUAAACACACUUCCUUGUCCCACUUAAGGUGUUACACUUCCCUGUGUGAUGAAUUGGAAGAAAGUUUUUUAAGAUGUCAAACAUUGUUUAUUUAGUAACAUUGGUAAGUAACAACAAUUAAUGAGUAAUACAUAGCAUUUCAUAAUUUUUCAAGUAUUUGUUGCAUACGUAUGUCUCUGUUAUGGUUAAAUAUUAUCACUUUUUCUAACCCGAACGAUCUGGCUCGUCUGUUAAAUGUGUUGGACAAAAUAUUUGUUACCCAAACAAACAAGAAACCUUUUCAUCUGCUUGUGACACAGGCACUUGUUUCUAUCCAUUGGAAGACCCACUAUCAACGUAUAAAUAUACUUUGAUAGUGGGUCUUCCAAUGGAUAGAAACAAGUGCCUGUGGCUUGUGACUUUCUACAGAAUUUGCAGGGCGCGAUCCAGCCAUUUAUUAAAGGGGGUUCCAAAUAUAAUACACCUUAUCGCUAUUUGUCCGCCAUUGCUGGAUAUCACACAGGUUCCCGUAAAAUGUUGACGUCAUAAAACAAAAUAUCUGACGCCACAAUAGAAAUGUGAUUGUUGUUGACGUCAAAAGUUCAAGCGGCUGGGUCAGCCAGGAUUAGCGAUAAGGUGUAUAUAUAUGUCCCUAUUCAAAAGCACUGAUCGUCAAAAAAUGAUGGGGAUUCUUACCCCAAGACCCCCCUCCUUGAUCCGCCACUAGAUUGAGGAUUGAUGAAGAUCCUCAUUAAAUAUAAUAAGAUGAGUACUAUUCCAAGUUAUGGGUAUACACCUUUAUCAUGUUUACCGCUAUCUGUCCACCAUUACUGGAUAUCACACAGGUUCCCGUAAAAUUUUGACGUCAUAAAACAAAAUAUCUGACGCCACAGUGGAAAAGUGAUUGUUGUAUGCGUAAAAAGUUGAAGUGGCCGGGUCAGCCAGGAUUAGCUACAAGGCUUAUAAUAAUAAUAAGGUGUAUUAUACAUAAUGCGUACAUGUAUGUCCCAAAACAUACAUGUCUGCCAUUACUGGACAUUUCAAAGGUUCCCAUAAAAUGUUAACGUCACAAUAGAAAAUGUCUGAAGCCACAAGGGAGGAGAGAUUGUUGUAUGACAUAAAUAGUUCAACCGGCACAGAUUCUAGGGUCUACCGAUGCAGAUUUCCAAAAAGCAAUAAGGUGCAUAUCUUAUUAAAUGUAGCUUGUCAGGUUAAAAGUAGAAUAUAAAAUAAUAAAAAUACAUUCACACGUAUUCGCAGGUAGAAAUUUAACUUUUAAAAAUUGUCUACAUUCACAGCUUGAAAGGUUGUCUUGAUAUUUUAACGUCAACAAAAGUAUUGGUCGACAUGUUGACAAAAAUAACUUUUACGAAAAAGUGUCUACAUACCGAAGUUGACAGGUCGACAAGUUGACAGACUAAUGUAUUUUAUAAUAAUUAUUAAAAGAGACAUGUAUUAAUUAAUUGUAUUAAUAAAAUUUGAUAGAAAUUGACAAUUUCACUGAAGAAGUUUGAAACAUUUAGAUUAUUGUUUACUAAAAUACAGGUGAUGUGUUUUAAAAAGUAGUAAUUGGUAGUGGUGUUCUGAUGAUAGAUUGUAAUUGAAAAAGUAAAAAAAAUAAAAUGUAUGAUUUAUCUGAAAUGUGCUACCACUUUUGAUUCCUGUUACUGGUCCAAGGACACAGUUAUCGUCCUUUGGUUUUCGUUGUCUACAAAUACAGUCCCUAGUGUAAAGAGUGUAUAACUUGCAUGUUUAAUUGAUACACUUUCCCAAUUUGUUUCUUGAUAUCAAAUGCAUGAAAUAUACGUAGGGGGAUGUAAUUACAUGUCAAAAAAAUUUGGGUGCUGAAUCUUUAUGUUAAGUAGUGAUUUGGUCCAGUUCAAAAAGGUCAAAUUUUAUCACGUCUGAAGCUGUCAAACUGAAUUUUACACCCCCUUAACACAGAAUUGUCAAUAUUUUGAGUUAGAGCUGGUAGAAGUUUAUAUAAUUUUGAUAUUAUUUGUCUCACUGCUAGUACACUCCACUGUCAUCAUGACAGUGGAGUGUACUGACAGUGUCAUGACUGUAAAAAUCUUUUUGAGAAAGAGCAGGUGCGAUUUUUUUAAUUUGAAUUUAUUGUCUAAAAGAAAUGCACUACGAAAUACUGUGUUCUCGGGCCUACUGGUGAUGUUAUCAAGUAACUUAGUUAAAUGUUUUGUUUCAUAUCUCAAUAAAACAUUUGUAAAAUGUACAUCGACCUAUAAUGGUUUACUUUUAUAAAUUGUUAUUUGGAUGGAGAGUUGUCUCAUUGGCACUCACAUCACAUCUUCCUAUAUCUAUAUAUAUAUAUUAUUAUAAUAUUUUUAAAUAAUUUGACCCUAAAAUGGUGUAAAGAGGGAAUAUGUUAAACAUGUUAAAACAUGAGAUAAAAUAGUAUGUACUACACAAUCAACAAUGUCUGGGGCGUACAAAAUGUAGCUCCAUAUACGCUGUCACGCCAUGGCGUGCACAUCGCGGGGUCUAAAAAAUUAUUUACGCAGAAAAAUAAAAUAAAAAUACAAACGAGUAAAAAAUAUUAAAUCUAACUUAACCAAGCAAAGUAGAAAACGAUACAGUAUAACUAUUUUAAUAACGUCACAAUAUUAUUUCCGUCUAUAAAAUCAACCCUGACCGAAAUCGUUUUUAAUUUAUUUGCGAGAAUUUUCUUCUGGUACUCGCCGUAAAAAAGCAGCGUAUGAAACAUGAACAGUACAAAGCGUGACAAGCCUAAAGGGCAAACGUUAGACAUUUUUUUCUCUCACAAAAACGCCCACCAACAGUGAUAGUCAUGCAGAAACACACCCAGCAACAAAUCAGGACAAUUUUUUUUGAAACGUCAAAAAUUGACGAUGAUUGAACUUAGCUUAAGUGCCACAUCAGUGUUAUGUCAAAGCCAGUACAAAAUAAUCUGGGACCAUCUUAUCCAGAUAUUUCUUUGUUGAAAGAUUCGAAAUCCUUAUAAUUAGGAAAAGAUGUAAAGUUACAACUUUUGCCCGACAAAUGGAAAGAUGUCCACACCUUCAAAUUGCCGACAAGGUAUAUUAACUCCAUUUCAAUUAAAAAAAAUAUAAUGCGCGUUGUUGAACUAACAGGGCUGCAGGGGUUGUAAACCCACGUUUUUGUUUAGAUAAGGGUUGUAAAUUUCGUACAUUAUUUUGGCAAAAAAAUUACCAAUUGACUUUUGUUCCAUUUUUAUCUCUCAACUUUGGUUCCGACCCUGAACAAUUUAAUGAAUUACAGUAAACUUUAUAUGAGUUUGACUGUCCCUAAAUUUGGUAUCUUUCGCCCCUCUUUUAUAUGUAAAUUACGAUAAUGGUAAAUACAAAUCUGAAUUCCCUCUUUAAAUUUUGUUUUGAAGGGCUACUUAAUAUUGUUCUGUUUUGACACCUUCCUGUCGAAAUAUUAAGGCGUCAACGCAUUAAAAAUAAAAUAAAACAUCCUUUCAAGACUUCAUCAAGUUCCGCAGUACUAGUCCGUUACUGAAAUGUUGCGUUCCGAGCAAAAUGAUGAUAAUGUUUGAAACGAGCUACUAGUAUACCAAACCACUCUAGAUAUAGCAGAGCUUUUUGGUAUAGUUGAAAAUGUUCCUAGGUGGUGUGGAAGACAAACCUCGAGAGCUAACCAUCCAGCCGAAACACCUAAAGAUUACUGGCGAAUUUCUCUCUACUAUCCGUUUCUGGAUCAUAUGAUCACAGAACUUGAUUCUCGACUUCUGAAUUCAGAAAACUGUUUUCAUGCACAAUAUCUUCUUCCGUGUGUGGUCGAACAAAUAACUAAUGACCAAUUGACCAAUACUGUGUGUUCUAACAAUGCCCUUUGUUAGUGCUACAGCUGAAAAGUCGUUUAGCGCCGGUACUGAAACGUUUGAAAACGUACAUCCGUUCAACAAUGAGAAAUGACAGAUUAUCGGCUUUGGGUUCCACCGUGAUUUUGAGGUCAAUUUAGACAAGGCCAUGGACGUUUUUGUUGCAGCUCUAAAAAUACGAAGGGCAGAUUUUUAUAAAUAUUCAGGAUGUUUCUCAAUAAAAAAUGAUUAAAUACAGUCUUAAUAAUUUGCUAAUUAAACCAAUUUUAGGCCGUCAGAACGCACCAUUUUGCGUCUAGCCAAAAUAAAAAUCCGGGGGGGAUGGCAAUCCCCCCAACCCCCCCUCUGGUUGGCGUGCACUUCAAAGGGACCCAGCUACGCCCCAGAAUGUUGUUAGCUAUAUACAUGUAGUAUAUUUAAAGAAUUAUAUUUACAAAUAUAUUUGAAAAUCCAUAUAUAUAUAUAUAUAUCACAUGGGUUGUUUGACAUUGCUAAGGUUCCAGUUACUAUGGUUACAUUAUAUUGUAACAUGUAAAAGGACCAGACUUUGCCAAUGAGAAUGUUCAUAAUCAUGCAAAUGUUUCCUAUAGCAUGUACAUGUAUAGUAUGUCUAUUGAUCUCAUUUGCAUGGUUCAGUGCCUACUAAAGAUAUAUUUUAAUGUUUAUUUCUCUUUUAUUAUAAGCUAGUUAAAGGAUACCUAUCUGUACCUUGCAAGGCCUCAUUCCUGUCAGACAGUUUUCACUUGACCUUGACCUCAUUUCAUUGAUCAGUGAACAAGGUUAAGUUUUUGAGCUCAAUUCCAUAUCUCAGUCAUUGUCAGUUUAACAUGUUGAAUACUACAUGUAUAUUAAGCAAUUAAUGUAGGUCUACUGUAUUUGUUGUAUGUAAUGAUUGUAAGGCGUACAUCAAAUGAGUGUUUAAUACAGUUUCUUUUGAUACAUAAUGAGUUAGAGUAGAUGUUUUAUCAUGUUUAUUGUUAUAAACAAAAUUUGAUUUAGUAGAAAGUAUGAGACUAGUCCUAUAAACAUGAUAGAUUAUUAUAAUUUACUGUGGCCAAUAAAAAAGAAACAAUACAUUUAUAUUUUGUAUCAAUAUAACGUACCAACUUACAAUAAUUGAUUUGUGACAGGAAAUCUAAGUUGAUAAAAACUUGUAAAAACAGUCAUAAACAUGAUAAAUUGUACAUUUAUAUUUUAUACAAUGCACCAGAAUCUGACCCACAAAUCAUGAUAAAUACUGUUUUGUAUUACACUAUGUUUUUUUUAAUAAUUAUAAAAUUCUGAUUUUUAGCUCACCUGGCCCGAAGGGCCAAGUGAGCUUUUCCCAUCACUUGGCGUCCGUCAUCCGUCGUCGACCAUCGUCGUUAACUUUUACAAAAAUCUUCUCCUCUGAAACUACUGGGCCAAAUUAAACCAAACUUGGCCACAAUCAUCAUUAGGGAAUUUAGUUUAAAAAAUGUGUGGCGUGACCCGGCCAACCAACCAAGCUGGCCGCCAUGGCUAAAAAUAGAACAUAGGGGUAAAAUGCAGUUUUUGGCUUAUAACUCAAAAACCAAAGCAUUUAGAGCAAAUCUGACAUGGGGGUAAAAUUGUUUAUCAGGUCAAGAUCUAUCUGCCCUGAUGUUUUCAGAUGAAUUGGACAACCCGUUGUUGGGUUGCUGCCCCUGAAUUGGUAAUUUUAAGGAAAUUUUGCCGUUUUUGGUUAUUAUCUUGAAUAUCAUUAUAGAUAGAGAUAAACUGUAAACAGCAAUAAUGUUCAGCAAAGUAAGAUUUACAAAUAAGUCAGCAUGACCAAAAUGGUCAGUUGACCCCUUAAGGAGUUAUUGCCCUUUAUAGUUAAUUUUUAACCAUUUUUCAUAAAUUUUUGUAAAUUUUUAGAAAAUAUUUUCCACUGGGCCAAGUUCAUUAUAGAUAGAGAUAAUUGUAGCAACAAGAAUGUUCAGUAAAGUAGGAUCUAUAAACACAUCACUAUCACCAAAACACAAUUAUGUCAUGAAUUUAUCCGUGUCCAUUGUUUAAUAUGCACAAGACCAAGGUGAGCGACACAGGCUCUUUAGAGCCUCUAGUUUAUUUUGCUAGUGUUCAUUUUUUUUAAAUAAAAAUUAAAGAAACUAUUCAAAUGAUUAAUUAUGAAUUAUGCUUUAUCAGACCAAUCUUAUCUUCAUUUGUAACCUCAGUAUGCUCAGUGUCAAUAUAUAUUUAUAUAUAUAAAUAUAAAACCUUUCUUUUUCCUCAUUUGUCUUACAUUUAUUACAAUGCAAAUCAAAAUCAGUUGACCAUACCUGCAUAAUGUGCAUCUAAUAUCUAUGUUAAAAGAUUCUUCAAUAUUAAGGAUGUUCGCUUGUCAUGUUUUGGGAUUUUUGUCAGAUUUCCGGAAUCCUCUGGUUUUAUCCAUUUGAAUGCCUUAAAAAAAUUUGAAAUUUGCCCAUUGACCCCCAUUUUUCUUUUUAUAAAUCUUUUAUAUGUAUGAUUAUAAACCAUCUGUAAAAGUCUUAUAAAAUCGUUGUUAUUUUUUAAUAGUUUUUGAGAGCUUUAACUUGUUAAUGAUAAAGCAAUGAAAAAUCAAGAGAUCAUUUUCCCGCCAAAGUUUCAAAGGCUAAUAUCUCGAAAACAAGCACAUUGACCUAUAUUUAUGUUUUGCUUUUUUAGUUCCUUUAUUAAACCCCUAUCAAUAUAUACUAGUGUUAUGACAAGCUUGUUAUUUUGAAACUGAGUAGAGAACUUCCUUAAAUGGUUAUAAUAUAUAUCUGUAUAUGUAUAUAUCUGUAUUAUAACAACUCAUCUAAACAUCAACCCAACAAUGUUAGAUCUGUAAAUUUGCUUUCGCAAAUAUUUAGUUCUUCCCUCGGUGGGAUUUGAACCCAUGCUACUGAGAUAUCGUGACACCAAAUCGCCUGCACUGUAUAAUCCGGUGCGCUAGACCACAUGACCACCUUGGCUUCACAAAAAUUGAGCUGAUCUGUAACAAUAACAUCUCCAUGCCUUAUAUAUAUCAUGUACUGUAUUACGACGCUAGAUUAAAACUGAUGAGGAAAGGUAACACCCGGCCACUGAAAGCUUUAUUUUUAUAUAUAUCAUGUAUAUAGUAUAUACAUGUAUAUACUAAAAAAGAAUAUGAAUUAUCUCCCUUUGUGAUUGAAACUUGAAUAACGGUUCUCACUGCGACUUUUAGAUGAAGAACAGCAAUUAUUGCCCUGUUCCUUUGCUUUAAGUGUGUUUUUAGCUGUGCAUGUACUGAUUUUGUGUCAUGAACAGACACCCUAUGUUUUGUAUACAUUUUGUACUUGGUUGAUUAUCUAUGUAUUAGGGACAAUGGAUAAUACAAUUAUUAUUUAUUUACUUGUACAAGUGAAUUAUUUUGAAGGUAGAGAUAAUGUCCCUUAAACAUUCAAGACUGUUUAAUUUAUUUCAAUUAAAAUGUCAUUUCUCUAAGUUUUUGAAGGCCGUACUUUAACCAUAUGAUAAUGGCUUACUUUUAUGAAUUGUGACUUGGAUGGAGAGUUGUCUCAUUGGCACUCAUACCACAUCUUCCUAUUUCUACUUAUAAAAUUAUGAUUUCAUGGACAAACAGGACAAUGAAAAUCUCAUGUGUCUUAUUUUAAAAUGCAUACAUUUAUACUGCUCAUCUACAAGCCUCUCUCGUCCAGAUAAAAAUUGAAAAAUAGAAGUUUAUGUGAUACUUGCCCUAAAAUCUUUUCUAAAAUUCUUUCAAUGUAUAUUCAAUAAAAAUGGGUAAAAACAGGUUAGAAAGUUUAGGAUAUAUACCGUAUAGGGGGUUAUCAUGGUUAUUUUCACGAGGUGUAAAUUUUCGCUUAUUUUCACAGGAAGAAAAAAAUGGCCAAAAUAAAUUCUGCCAAUUUAAAAGUGUACAUGCAAAGGAAUUGAUAAAAGUUUUGAAUCCCCCAAAAUAAUAACUGCCAAAAUAAUUCGUAUACUUAUUCAAUAAAAAUCCUGAAAUUUUAUACUCGCGAAAUAACCCCCUAAAAUACAAUAUAUCAUGUUUAAUAAUCUGUGUCAAAAUUUCAAGCUUUUAAAAAGUCUUGAAAAUUGGUAGUAUAAUAAUAACAUAAUGAACUGAUUAAAUAGCAGAAAUUUAGAAGGGUUCAUGUCCUUGUUUGCUAUUAAACAAACAAAAAUAAUUAAAAUUUAUGGGGAAAUAAUUUUCUGUAGAUAUUUCAACCAUUUAACAUUGGCACCUUUUGUCUAUCAAAAACUAUGAAAACAUAUGUAACAACAAUUUUGUAAGAAGCAAACUUAAGGAUAGAGACAUACUUUUAAUUCAAUUUUAGAAAUAAAAGCAUCAAAAUGAUGCUGAUCAAGUAUUCAAUUUAAGAUUGCAAUUUUGUCAUUUAUUGGCAAUUUUAAAUGAUAAAAAAGGAACAGGGAAAAUGUUAAAUCAAAUUUCCACAGAUGUUAUUUAGUUAAGACAAUACUUUCCUUUUAGAUAAGACCACAGUAAAUAUUAAUGACUAUGGUAACAAUCAAAUGACAAAGCUAAAAAAUAUUUGGUUUUUAAGUGACCUGUUUUUUUAAAAGAGUCAACACACUCGUCAAUGUCUGUCAUUUUUGUCGAGCCUUCGACUUUAGUCGAAAAAGCGAGACUAAGCGAUCCUACAUUCCGUCGUCGGCGGCGUCAACAAAUAUUCACUCUGUGGUUAAAGUUUUUGAAAUUUUAAUAACUUUCUUAAACUAUACUGGAUUUCUACCAAACUUUGACAGAAGCUUGUUUAUGAUCAUAAGAUAGUAUCCAGAAGUAAAUUUUGUAAAAAUAAAAUUCCAUUUUUUCUGUAUUUUACUAUAAAUGGACUUAGUUUUUUCUGCGGGGAAACAAAACAUUCACUCUGUGGUUAAAGUUUUUAGAAUUUUAAUAACUUUCUCCAACUAUCCUGGGUUUGUAUCAAACUUGGACAGAAGCUGGUUUAUGAUCAUAAGAUAGUAUCCAGAAGUAAAUUUUGUAAAAAUAAAAUUCCAUUUUGUCGGUAUUUUACUUAUAAAUGGACUUAGUUUUUUCUGCGGGGAAACAUUACAUUCACUCUGUGGUUAAAGUUUUUAAAAUUUUAAUAACUUUCUUAAACUAUCCUGGAUUUGUACCAAACUUGGACAGAAGCUUAUUUAUGAUCAUAAGAUUGUAUCCAGAAGUAAAGUUUGUAAAAAGAUUACUCCGUUUUUUCUGUAAUUUACUUUUAAAUGGACUUAGAUUUUCUUACAAUCAUAAAAGAGUAACAAGAGGAAUAUUUUAUUGAUUUUUUUUCCUCAUUAUUGUUGAGCCUGCGAUUUACAGCAAAAAUAGGCGAGACACUGGGUUCCGCGGAACCCUUACAAAUUUUUUAUCUAAGGAAUGACAGUAAUAUUUUUUCUCUCUAUGAAGAAAAAACAUCAAAAAGAAGUGUGAACCACAUUUUUUAUGUUAUUUCAUACAGACAUAAAAAAUAUUAUUGUCAUUCCUUGUAAUUUAAUUCUAAAUUCCAUUUUAAACCGAAGUAAAUCAUGAAAAUACCUUGAUGACGUCACUGUCACAUGACAAAACUAUGUCUAUGAGCUGAUAAACAAAAUAACAUCAGCCAAUCAGAAGACAUGUUACAUCCAAAAUUCAAUUAUGGAAAGAUAUCAUUCAUCAUGUGCAUGUUGUUAUCUUCAACAAUUGUAUAUGAAUAAAAGGAGAUUUGCAGUACACAUCAAUGAGAUACAUUUUAACAACCCAAAUUGGGCCAAUGAGUCAAUGACUGAAUAUUUCAUAAAGCAACAUGCAACCUUCAACAAUAGACAUGCACUUAAUCAUUUUGAGUCCAUCGAUCAAGAUAGAACUUAGAGUUUCGUUCCAUAACAAUGAUUUUUAACCGGUAGGGUACUAUGCAAUACUCAAAGAAUGCUUGUUUAAAAUCAUUAAGUUAAAAGCUGUAAGUUGGAUAAAAUAUAUGAAAUAUUAAUAUCUUCCUACUGUCUGUUAACAUCAAAACUUGACUCCUUAAAGUGACUUAAGAUAGACAAAUACCUGUACCUUGGCAUUGCACAAGGUCAACGGUUUUCUCUGACUGUAUUAUGACAUCUUUACUUUGAAUCUAUUGGAUGUUGGAUGUGUACAUGAUUUUUUAUGCAGUUAAGCUGCAUUAUGCGAGCACCCUAGAUUUGUGUUCUACCCAAUAAAUGCUGAAAUACUUGCCAUUGUUAUUAUCUAGCUGGCUACUAUGUUCAUACCUGCCAACUUUCACGAUUUAGGCGUGUACUACACGAUUUUGACCCUUUGUCACGAUUGCACGAUCGUGUUCCUGAAAAACCCUCUAAAACACGAUUUGGUGAAAAUCUACACGAAAAAUAUUGUUGUUCCCGAUUUUGAACUGUGUCCAAUGGAGGAAAAUCGUGUUCAGCCAAUCAAAUUGUGUGUUUCUCAUGAUCAAAUUAAUCAGCCAAUCAAAAACGUUUUCUCUCAAGAUUAUUUUAACAUGCUAGAUAUUGAACUUGUGUUGUAUUCCUCUGUUUGUUGGUCAGAAUUGUAAAAACGUGAACAUGGCAAAUGAUUUUUCAACUGCAAGGAGGUUCUUACACAGAAUAAGAAUAAAAGCAUGGCUGAUUGACAAACUUCAAUGAUGCAGUACUACCAUGAAUAUAAUAAAUAGUAGUUUAUUCACUAAUUUAUUGACAUUACAUGUACACUUGCUGUAACAUAAUUUCAUUUAUGUAUUCAAUCAUUUAAAGUAUAAUGUACUAUUCAUUAUUUUUCACAUGGACCCCCUCCCCCCCCCACAUCAACAUUAGAAAUCCCUUAAAUGAAGGACUACCCUUAGUCAAAGGGGUCACUCUUGUAAAAAAUAAAAUAGAAAAAUGUAGAUUUAUUAACUUAAAAAUGGGAAAUUCUGACAUUAUAUUUGGAACAGCUUUUCCAAAUGAAGAGUCCUAUUAUUUUGAAUAAUAAAGAAGAUAUAAGACCAAGAACAUACCAAAAUUCUUGGACAUGUGUUGACCAUAUAAUACCAGAUAGAUCAUAAGAUGUAUAGUAAUUCAACGAUCAUUUAAGUUUUUUCUGGUCAUAUUUUUUGUAAUCCAGAAUUAAAAGUAUUAAAAAAUUAUGUUAUAUAACUAAUUGAACACAUUUUUAAUACUUUUAAUUCUGGAUUACAAAAAAUAUGACCAGAAAAAACUUAAAUGAUCGUUGAAUUACCCAAAAAUUUUGAAGUUGCACAUAGGAAGUAGUGCUAAUUAGGAAUCCCUGUGUAGUUUAUUAUGGCCUGUGCUUUUGGCUUUGAUGUCAAAGAACAAUUGUACUAAAUAUUUAAUUGCUGAAAAUCUUAAGACAAGUAGUUUAGAUUUCCCAAAUGGCAAAAGUCGUAGGAAUAUUGUUUGUCAUCAAUACGUAGUACAACUACGUCAGUAGUCUAUUAUAUAAUAAGUUCAACUGUUCAUGCUGUUGGCGAAAUUUUAAAUUAGAACACGAGGAAAUUUUCGUUUCAAUUUGGAGGCAGGGGUUCAAAUUAGCGGUGGUCCGAGGUCCGCGACCUGACAUGUUUGCAAGCGGAAUAUGGAGAUGGUUUUUAGAUACGCCCGACAUACAUGUAGUCACCUUCCACUUGAAAGAAACUAAGAAAUAACUUUGCAAACCAUUUCACCAAAGUCUCCAAAGAAACGAUCUCAAAACUUAUUUUCAUCAUUAUUAUUCAUUACAGCGAUUUAACCACUAGCUUUAUACAGAAAAUCGCCGACAAAUAAUGUAUUAAUUCGAGUAAAAUUGUAUCUGACUGACAAAAACAACAUUGUAAACACAAUAACAAUGUCUGCCGUGAAGACAACAUUUUACAAUAUUGAAUCCGAUUCCGGAAGCGGAUAAGGGUAAUUCAGGGUUUUGGCGAUCAGCUACAAAAAAAUCCUGGCAGGUGACAAAAUACAUCUAUACAUGGGAAAUGAAUAUAAAGAUAUACAUAGAAUUGAAAACCAAAAGAUAUAUGUAAAAGAAAGGAAAAGCAGAAAAUAUUUAUACAGAAACUUAAAAUUACUUUUUGACAAAUUUUGAUUUCAAAUCCAAUACAGGUAUAGCUCAAUACAUUGUGACAGCUGGGAACAAUAUAUAUGUUCAUGCCGAUCGUCACAGUAUCAAUUUUCUUUAUCAGUGAUAAAUGAUGAUAAUGCAUUUAAGAUGCUUUUAAAGUGUAAACAUAUUACUGCAAUUUUGAAGGGUUAUUUUUUCUCAAUUCUGAAGGGUCAAUUAAAGUAGCUGGGAGUUUUAUACAGCUUUAUUUACACAUAACUAUAUUAUAUAAUACCUGAAUGUAAGCAAAUCAUAUGAUAUAUAGGUGGCAUCCUUUGGGCCACGCUACCCUCACCUGUUAAUAACUUUGAAACGGUCGAGAUCUCUGUCAGACCCUAAACCAUAUAUUUGAGUAUAGGACAAUAUGAUAAAUCAAAUGAAAUAUAGGGGAGUCCCUGUGGUCACUGUACACCCUUCUGUUUGAGAACUUGGAAAUGUCGAGAUCCCCACCCCUAAACCAUAUAUACUCAUGUAUUUUACUAUAUAACAAAUCAAAUGAAAUAUAGGUUGAGUCCCUGUGUUGUUUGAUAAGAUAGAAACUGAUGUGAUCCCAACCCCUUAACCUUACAUACUAAUGCAGGGGAUAAUAUAACUAAUCAAAUGAAAUAUAGGGGGAGUCCCUGGGGUCACUUGCCCUUUCCUGUUUGGGAACUUAUGAAACGGUCGAGAUCCCAACCCCUAAACCACAUAUAUUCAAGUAUGGGACAAUAUAAUAAAUCAAAUAAAAUAUGGGGGUAUUCCCUGGAGCCACCCCAACCCCUCCUGUUUGAGAACUUGAAAACGGUCGAGAUUCCCACCCCUUAACCAUAUUCCAUAUAGGGAGAGUUGCUGGGGGUCACCCCACCCCUCCUGUUUUAGAAUUUGUAAACGGUCGAGACUCCCACCCCUAAACCAUAUAUAUUCAUGUAUGGGACAAUCUAACAAAUCAGAUGAAAUAUAGGGGAAGUCCCUUGGGUCACCCCACUACUUCCUGUUUGAGAAUUUAAAAACCAUUGUGAUCCCCACCCCUUAACCAUAUAUUCAUUUGUAUAUUCAUGUAUGAGACAAUAUAACAAUUCAAAUAAAAUACAGGGGGAGUCCCUGGGGUCACCAUACACUCUCCUGUUUUGAGAACUUGUAAAUGGUGAAGAUCCUCACCCCUAAACCAUAUAUACUCAUGCAUGGGACAAUGUAACAAAUCAAAUGAAAUAUAGAGGGAGUCCUUGUGGUCAGCCCACCUCUCCUGUUUGAGAAUAUGGAAACGGUUGAGAUCCCCACCCCUAAACAAUAUAUAUUCAUGUAUGGGUCAAUAUAACUAACUAAAUGAAAUAUAGGGGGAGUCCCUGGGGUCAACCUACCCCCUCUUGUUUGAGAACCUGGAAACCGAUGAGAUCCCCACCCCUAAACCAUAUAUAUUCAUGUAUGGGACAAUAUAACAAAUCAAAUAAAAUGUAGGGGAAGUCCCUGGGGUCACCCUAUCCCUUCCUGUUCAGAACUUGAAAACCUUUGCGUUUCCAACCCCUAAACCAUAUAUAUUCAUGUAUGGGACAAAAUAACAAAUCAUUUAAUUACAUUUACUAUGGGCAGGUCAGUCAGACCACACCUUUGAUCCCUGUAGUUAAGUGAUCAUUUGUCUGAUUCAUGUCUCACAACUUUUGUACUAUAGAACACAAACUCGGUUUUCUUUCCGGGGAAACAAGUCCAUUCAUACUAUUACAUGUUCGUACUAAGUCAAUUGUACUACUAGCAGUCAACUUAAACCAACGUUAACUACCAAGUAGAACAACUGCAAUAAUAGGAACUUGUACCACUGCAGACUCACCAUAAAAAAUAUAUAUUGAUAUAUGCAUUACUUUUGAAACCUUGAUAACAUAUAAAUUAUUUGCCUUAAUAAUUAACUCAUUAGAUAAACAAUAAAUGUAAUAUAUAUGAAUGUUUAAUGUCGAAGCAACAUUGCCACAGUUUUCAUAAUUACGUUUGCCUUGGUUUUUGGUUAACUGCCUUCAGCGCUUACAGCGCUUUGAUUCUAUUAAAGUCCUUGAAAUGAGGUCCUGGUUAAACUCAUAAGAAAAAAGUUACAGUUACCAAAACAUUUUCACAACUUCUGCCACUGCUCCCUUCUGUUGCUACCACCCCUUAUAAUGCUGCCGCCCCCUUUGCUGCUGCCACUCCGUCUGUCAAUGAUUAACCCCUCUAAAAAAGAUAUAAAUGAUACAAAUCUUCAUCUGGUAAAAAUUAUGCCAUACUAUGUGACAUAAUUCAGUCCCUUUGAUGUUUUACUUCCUGUUGUCAGAAUAUUUUUUGAAUUAUUCAUUACAAGAUUAAAGGUUAUGAAGGUCAAUAACAUUGACCAAUGGAUAUAAUUUGAGAUUUAUUCAGAGAAACUAGUGUGGCAGAUUUUUCUUUUAUGGACAACUUCUCAUAUGAAAACUAUAUAGUCAAAGUACCAGGUUUUUAAACCAUGUCUAUGAAAAAUUAAGGAGUGCAAUUAUCUUUCUAACCAAAAUUUUGUAAACAUUGUGUGGCAUUUUUCAUUGAUUUCUAAAGCUACAAAAGUAGAAACAAAUACAUUGUUUAAUCAGUGUUUACUGACCCUGUUUGAACUUUUAAUAAUGCAUGCACAUGUUGUUUGUAAACAGACAUAUUACAUGCAAUAGUAGAAACAAAUACACCAAAAUAGAAACAAAUACAUUGUUUAAUCAUGUUAAUCAGGUUUAAGUUAGAAACAAAUGUAGCGUUAGUACACAUGUACUUAUAAACAAUGAACAACAAACUGUAAAUGCAUUUUUAGUGAGUGCAUAUAUAGUUUGUCUUUGUCAAAGUUUAUGUAAACGUUGCAAGUGUUUGUUAGUAACAAAUGAUCAAAACAUGUUUGUGCUUAGCUGUUUGUAUUGUACGUGUUAAAAAGAAAUGCACUCUUAGUUAUAUUUCACUGCAACUUUGACAUUUUAUAGAAAGUGAAGUAUUACAUAAGUUUGAUGUAUAUAUAUAAUAUAUGAUAAAUGGAAAGAGAUGUUACAUAGUUAUUGGUUUUCAUGCAAUAGUAUAACAUCAUUAGCAAUUAGGUCAAUUUAUUUAUGUCAUUCUAAGCAUUGAAAGAUACAAUUGUAACUGAAGCAGGCAAGGACUGUGUUUUAAGGAUGACAAAUGUGCAUACAUGUAUAUAGUUAAAGGCACCUGAUAAAGAUAAUUAGAUGUGGAUGAAAUAAAUUGUUUGUGUAUACCCAGAUCAGGAAGUAACUCAUGUUAUUGUUAUGCUAUGAUGCAUAUUAAUGUGAUUUUUAUCAUGUUUGUUACCUGAAUGAGGAAGUUUGCUUAUUUCUAUAAAAGCUUUAAUUAUUUUAUGUCUAGUGAUUUAAAAUUUUCAUUGACUGUGUAAAUAGGGUGACUUAGAUCUGUAGUAAACCAACAUACAUUUUAUAACAUCUUAAUCAAAUAUUCACUCUUUCUUAAAUCUGAUCCUUUAACAGGUUAACACUUUUCUAAAUGCAAUUAAUUCAUCUGUAGUUAUUUUUUGUUAUCAUGUUAAUAGAACAAUUAUAUCAAAUCGUAAUAAAUACUAGUAUACAUUUGGCCAAUGAACACUGUUAUUUUGUAGUGCAUUUUUUUUUAACAAUAAAUGCCAAUUAAAACAAAUCCAACCUGCAAUUUCUCAGUUAGAUUUUUACCAUGUUUACAGUGUUACAUGCUGUAGUGAACUUAACUUUUGGACCAAAUUAAAUCAAAAUUAUAAACAUGUCUACGAGUGGCAGGUUGUCAGGGUCUCUGUUUGUGGGAAAUAAAUAGUGAUUAUUUAAAGAAUCACAGAAACAUGACAUAAGUCAGCCCACUUUUUAUGCAAACCUUGCUCCCCACUUAUGAAAAUUUCUUGAUACUUCACUGGUUGUGUACAAAAAGGAAAGCCAUACAUUGAAAGUCAUGGUAAAAACUAAGUUCAACUGCAGUUUAAAAAGUUAUUAGAAAAUUUCUAACUUCAGUUGGCAUAAGCAUGCAGUGUUGCUGUCUCACUGACAUUUUUGAUUAAUGAAAGUCAUAUUAGUUUUUGUACGACCACAAAAAAAAUUUGGCGAUCAUAUAUUGGUAUCAGGUUAUUGUCGUCGUCGUCAGAUAUAUAUAUAAUAUAUAUAUAAAGAUUUAAGGGGGUAGACCUUGGUUCAGGGAGAUAACUCUUUAAAUCAGUUAUGCGUUUGUAACAGUCAAGUAUUGUCAAUGAAUUUUAAGCAUUUACCUGAAACAGAUUCGAAAUAAUCUUUGUAUCCUAGAAGCUUAGAACAUAUUUAUGAAAAUGGCUGACUCAAACGUACUGAUGAUUUUAAGAGUUAUUUCCCUUAACCUAGGUCUACCUCCUUAAACAAUUUGAUAAGAGUUUUUAGCUCACCUGGCCCAAAGGGCCAAGUGAGCUUUUCCCAUCACUUGGCGUCCGGCGUCCGUCAUCCGUCGUCGUCUGGCGUCGUUAACUUUUACAAAAAUCUUUCUCCUCUGAAACUACUGUGCCAAAUUACACCAACUGCAAAAAUAUCAUGGGGUAUCUAGUUUAAAAAAAAUGUGUCCGGUUGACCCGCCAACCAUCAAGAUGCCGCAUGCUAAAAAUGAACAUGCGUAAAAAUGCAGUUUUGGCUUAACUCAAAAACCAAAGCAUUUAGAGCAAAUCUGACAAUGGGGUAAACUUGUGUAACAGGUCAGAUCUAUCGCCCUAUUUUCAGAUAAAUCGGAUAACCUGUUGUGAGUUGCUGCCCUGAAUAAGCCCUAGCCUAUUUUAUAUAUCUUGAAUAUUAUUAUAGAUAGAGAUAAACUGUAAACAGCAAUAAUGUUCAGCAAAGUAAUAUUUACAAAUAAGUCAACAUGUUCGAAAUGGUAAGUUGACCCCUUUAGGAGUUAUUGCCCAUUAUAGUCAAUUUUUAACCCUUUUUUCGUAAAUCUUAGUAAUCUUUUACAAAAAUCUUCUCCUCUGAAACUACUUGGCCAAAUCAAUCCAAACUUGGCUACAACCAUCUUUGGGGUAUGUAGUUUGAAAAAUGUGUCCAGUGACCCAGCCAUCCAAUCAAGAUGGCCGCCAUGGCUAAAAAUAGAACCUUGGGUAAAAUGCAGUUUUUGGCUUAUAACUCAAAAACCAAAGCAUUUAGAGUAAAUCUGACAUGAGGUAAAUUUGUUUAUCAGGUCAAGCUCUACCUGCCCUGAAAUUUUCAGAUGAAUUGGAAAACCCGGUUUUGGGUUGCUGCCCCAGAAUAAUAAUUUUAAUGAAAUUGCUGUUUUUGGUUAAUUAUCUUGAAUAUUAUUAUAGAUAGAGAUAAACUGUAAACAGCAAUAAUUCAGAAAAAAGAUUACAAAUAAGUCAACAUGACCGAAAUGCGUCAGUUGACCCCUUUAGGAGUUAUUGCCCUUUAUAGUCAUUUUUAACCAUUUUUCGUAAAUCUUAGUAUUUUUUACAUCUUCUCCUCUGAACUACUGGCCAAUUACACCAAAACUUGGCCACAACAUCAUUGGGGUAUCUUGUUUAAAAAAUUGUGCGUGACCGGCCCAACCAAGAUGGCCGCCAUGGCUAAAAAUAGAAAUAGGGGGUAAAAUGGGGUUGGGCAUAACUCAAAAACCAAAGCAUAGAGCAAAUCGACAAGGAAAAUGUUACUGUCAAGAUCUAUCUGCCCGAAUUUUCAGAUAAAUCGGAUAACCUGUUGUUGGGUUGCUGCCCCUGAUUAGAAUUUUAAGGAAAUUUUGGCUGUUUUUGGUUAUUAUCUUGAAUAUUGUAUGAUAGAGAUAAACUGUAAACAGCAAUAAUGUUCAGCUAAGUAAGAUCUAAAUAGUCAACAUGACCAAAAUCGUCAGUGCCCCUAAGGAGUUAUUGCCCAUUUUAUUCAAUUUUUAACAAUUUCUAAAAAUUUGUAAAUUUUUACAAAAUAUUUUCACUGUAUCUAAAGGCCAAGUUUAUUAUAGAUAGAGAAAUUCUAAGUACAAGAAGUUCAGUAAAGUAAGAUCUACAAACACAUCACUAUCAGCAAAACACAAUUUUGUCAUGAAUCCAUCUGUAUCCUUUGUUUAAUAUGCACAUAGACCAAGGUGAGCGACACAGGCUCUUUAGAGCCUCUAGUUUUAUAUAGCUGUAAUAAAUAUUGCAAUAUUUUUUCUUUCCAGGUAUUACUGUUCUGUAUACUCUGUAUGCCAUGUGAUGCCGCUGUAGGUGAUACAAACUGUACCAUUAAUGCAAACUGUACAAUUAGUAAUUCAAAAUGUGACAAUACUACUAGUAAAUGUCAAUGUCUAGAUAACCACUAUGACAAUGAAACAACUUGUCAGCCAAG
This 18120-nucleotide long non-coding RNA is filed under the name Mytilus galloprovincialis (Mediterranean mussel). The record is from RNAcentral. Lineage: Eukaryota; Metazoa; Mollusca; Bivalvia; Mytilida; Mytilidae.